GUUGACGCAGUGCUGAUUCUGUUCUCUUUGGGAAACAACUCUUUAUCUUCCACAAGGGUCAGUGCUCCUCCAUCAUGCUCAGAAGCUGUGCAUCAUUCUUGAGGAGCCAUCACCACAGCUUAUCUUUGUGACUCUUCCUUCUCUCAUCAUGCUCAGAGACAAGAGAGAGAGAUAUGUACAGUUGAAUCCACUGAUGUCACAACAGCAUCUGUGAUUCUGUGGCCCCAGAGGGAGCAGUGUAAUGAUAAUCCAUAUACACAAAAGGAUAUCAUGAUCAACCAGACCAUAAGAGGUGACCUCUCCAAGUGGUUCAUUAAUGGUUCUCAGUAGGCAGACCCCAUCUUCAGAUUUUGAUUCGCUGCUGCGCCGUGAUUCAACACCUAGAGAGCGCCGCCCGAGACGAGCACCCGGUGACUGCCUCUCAUUCCCUAGGGUAUAAGUAGAGAGCUCUCUCCCCCUCUCCGAAUCCAUCCUUUUCAAUUCCUUUUCCACCUCCCAACAGCUGCACCCUACCCCAACGUAACGAGCGUGCCUUCAGCCACGGCCUCUGCCGAAUCUAAACCCCACGACACCAUCGUUAUCAACGACGAUACCGACGCAGAAACGGGCGCCCCUCGUUCCCAACCGUGAGAACUACGGAGAAAGAGGCGCUGUAUGGUCUAUAGCUUCCGAGAGUGCGAGGCUCUGUUUGAUAACCCAGCGCUCCCUGUUGCCUCUACACCCACAGCAUUGCGGCCAUUGAAGAAACGCAAAACACCCAACUUGACAACCGUCCUGGAAACCGCGAACCAGGAAAUCCACGCUGUAUUUGAAGCGAAGUCUGUGGAGACCAAGGCGCUGGAAGCAGAAGUGUGGCGUCUGAGGGAGCAGAACAUCGAGCUGGAAGUCAAGCACCGUGCGGAGCUGGGCAGGAAAAAAGAGCAGAUCCGCACGCUGAAGGCUGAGGUUAGGGAGCUGGAGCACCGAUGUGAAUGUCCGAUAUGUUAUACCAUCAACUCGGAGUCGGGGUGGAGGAUCCACCUGUGCGGACAUAGGUUUUGCUCAGAUUGCCUCUCUAGUGGGCUGGAGUCCUGUGAAUUGUGUCGUCGAGAGAUUACUGGCUAUAUCAAGAGUCUUUGGAUAGGAGAUGCUUUGGUCAGCCAUUCUAUAGCGGGAAAGAUCUCCCAAGCACAAUCCACGUAUCCUCAAAGCUUGG
This 1195-nucleotide small RNA is filed under the name Histoplasma ohiense. RNAcentral's name for it is "hypothetical lncRNA". The record is from RNAcentral. Lineage: Eukaryota; Fungi; Ascomycota; Eurotiomycetes; Onygenales; Ajellomycetaceae.